GAUGAAGAACGCAGCGAAAUGCGAUAAGUAAUGUGAAUUGCAGAAUUCAGUGAAUCAUCGAAUCUUUGGACGCACAUUGCGCCCGCCAGUAUUCUGGCGGGCAUGCCUGUUCGAGCGUCAUUUCAACCCUCAAGACCCCUUCGGGGGACUUGGUGUUGGGGACCGGCACAGGGGCCUGCCUGCUUGUCUUGCAGCGCCCUCGCCGCCCCCGAAAUGAAUUGGCGGCCUCGUCGCGGCCUCCCCUGCGUAGUAGCACAAACCUCGCAACGGGAACGUGACGGCGGCCACUGCCGUAAAACAACCCAAUUUUAUUAGAGUUGACCUCGAAUCAGGUAGGAAUACCCGCUGAACUUAAGCAUAUCAAUAAGCGGAGGA
RNAcentral lists this unclassified non-coding RNA (375 nucleotides) under soil metagenome. RNAcentral's name for it is "partial contains 5.8S ribosomal RNA, internal transcribed spacer 2, and large subunit ribosomal RNA". The stretch from base 1 to 120 matches the Rfam family "5.8S ribosomal RNA", at positions 35 to 154 of the family's 154-position model. The record is from RNAcentral.